Molecule: long non-coding RNA, 587 nt
Organism: Ahaetulla prasina
Lineage: Eukaryota; Metazoa; Chordata; Lepidosauria; Squamata; Colubridae
Exons: 2
Source: RefSeq, a predicted model, not a curated record
GUAGUGGCCCAGAAUGACCAGGGACGGGUGGAAGGCGAAGGAGCUGCCACAACCAAAGAGGAUUCCGUAGGUGAAGUAGCGGACCUCCAGGGACCUGUGGAAAAGAAGAGGACCAAAAUAGGGUUUGGUUGGUUGCUGUGCCAUAGAAACACAGGAAAAGAAGAGAUCCUUUAUUGGGUGUUGAUUAGAAGCGUGGAAUUAGGUGGGACCAUGAUGGAAAAAGGUAUUGUUUGUUUAUUUAUUAGAGGUUUUUAAAUCCCACCUUUAUUACUUUAUAAGUAUCUCAAGGUGGUGAAUGAACCUAAUACUUCUACGUUUUCCCCACAAAACAAUCCUGUAAGGUGGGUUGGGCUGAGAGAGAGUGACUGGCUCAAAGUCACCCAACUGACUUUUGUGCCUAAGGUGGGACUUGAACUCAUGUCUCCUGGUUGCUAAGGCAGCAUUUUUACCACUACACCAAACUGGCUCUUUGGUUUUGGUUGUUUACUCUUUUGUGCUUUUAAAAUUGUCUCUGUUUUGCUGAUGCACGAUUUCACCUGCUUUUCUUAAAAUAUACAAAAGUAAAUAAAUACCAGUGAUUUCCCAAG